This 301-nucleotide ribosomal RNA is filed under the name uncultured bacterium. Its description in RNAcentral is "partial 16S ribosomal RNA". It matches the Rfam family "Bacterial small subunit ribosomal RNA", at positions 509 to 807 of the family's 1533-position model. The record is from RNAcentral.
CAGUCCCCGCGGGAAUACAGAGGGUGCAAGCGUUAAUCGGAAUUACUGGGCGUAAAGCGCGCGUAGGUGGUUUGUUAAGUUGGAUGUGAAAGCCCCGGGCUCAACCUGGGAACUGCAUCCAAAACUGGCAAGCUAGAGUACGGUAGAGGGUGGUGGAAUUUCCUGUGUAGCGGUGAAAUGCGUAGAUAUAGGAAGGAACACCAGUGGCGAAGGCGACCACCUGGACUGAUACUGACACUGAGGUGCGAAAGCGUGGGGAGCAAACAGGAUUAGAUACCCCAGUAGUCCCUGUCUCUUAUAC